RNAcentral lists this ribosomal RNA (433 nucleotides) under uncultured bacterium. Its description in RNAcentral is "partial 16S ribosomal RNA". It matches the Rfam family "Bacterial small subunit ribosomal RNA", at positions 29 to 507 of the family's 1533-position model. The record is from RNAcentral.
AACGAACGCUGGCGGCAUGCCUAACACAUGCCAGUCGAACGAGACCUUCGGGUCUAGUGGCGCACGGGUGCGUAACGCGUGGGAACCUGCCCUUAGGUUCGGAAUAACUCCCCGAAAGGGGUGCUAAUACCGGAUAAUGUCUUCGGACCAAAGAUUUAUCGCCUUUGGAUGGGCCCGCGUUGGAUUAGCUAGUUGGUAGGGUAAAAGCCUACCAAGGCGACGAUCCAUAGCUGGUCUGAGAGGAUGAUCAGCCACACUUGGACUGAGACACGGCCCAGACUCCUACGGGAGGCAGCAGUGGGGAAUAUUGGACAAUGGGCGAAAGCCUGAUCCAGCAAUGCCGCGUGAGUGAUGAAGGCCUUAGGGUUGUAAAGCUCUUUUACCCGGGAUGAUAAUGACAGUACCGGGAGAAUAAGCUCCGGCUAACUCCGUG